GAUGAACGCUGGCGGCGUGCUUAACACAUGCAAGUCGAACGGAAAGGCUCCUGCUUGCAGGGGUACUCGAGUGGCGAACGGGUGAGUAACACGUGGGUGAUCUGCCCUGCACUUCGGGAUAAGCCUGGGAAACUGGGUCUAAUACCGGAUAGGACGAUGGUUUGGAUGCCAUUGUGGAAAGUUUUUCGGUGUGGGAUGAGCUCGCGGCCUAUCAGCUUGUUGGUGGGGUAAUGGCCUACCAAGGCGUCGACGGGUAGCCGGCCUGAGAGGGUGUACGGCCACAUUGGGACUGAGAUACGGCCCAGACUCCUACGGGAGGCAGCAGUGGGGAAUAUUGCACAAUGGGCGCAAGCCUGAUGCAGCGACGCCGCGUGGGGGAGGACGGCCGUCGGGUUGUAAACUCCUUUCGCUAGGGACUAAGCGCAAGUGACGGUACCUGGAGAAGAAGCACCGGCUAACUACGUG
This 465-nucleotide ribosomal RNA is filed under the name uncultured bacterium. RNAcentral's name for it is "partial 16S ribosomal RNA". It matches the Rfam family "Bacterial small subunit ribosomal RNA", at positions 28 to 507 of the family's 1533-position model. The record is from RNAcentral.